CAGAUUAUACAAUGGAGUAUCACUAGGCGACCAAAAAGUUGGGAAGCUUUAAUAAAGAUCAGAAUGACACAGGAAGAAGCAAGUGAGGGAUAGACAAGAGGAAGACGUGCUGCCCUCUUUGACCACUCCCAGCAGCGUGGCAUGGCGCCCAGUUUGCUUGUGAACACACCGACCUCCAACUCUAAGGCCAGCAUCAACUCCUCCUAUCACUGCCAGCACAGGCCACACCUCUAUGCAAAGUGUCCUCAGCUGCAGCUCUGAGAGCCUUUCCAUCAUUUUUUUGUUAAUGCAGUAAGUCCAACGGUCUGUUCGAUGAAGGAUACGGAUAAGCUGAAUAGUGGCUUCUGCCAGCACUGCUGCUACUGGACUACAAAUGGGGUCUCCUGGAAGAAAACAGGAGGUGACAAACAAAACAAAAAGCUUGUUUUAUUUUAUCACAUCUUGUAUACCUACCAGUGUGUAACCCUCUUCAUCUGAUUCAGGCUGAGACAAAUCAGAUUCACUCCUCGAUUUGAUCAGUCUAUAAUUUGGACUUGCGUGGACUAGCCGGCUCUCUGCAAUUGCAGAAAAACACAGAAAUUAAUUGACUUUCAACUUUACCCAUCUGUCUCGUGAUGAUGACCUGGUUUGAAUAAGUUCAAGGUUCUUGCAAGCAAGUAAACGACUUCGAACUUUGUACACACAACGGUACACUUCUGACAAGCUUUUACCAGGUUGAUAUCUAAAUAAAGAACCAAAAUAGAAAAGUUAUAAUUUCUAACAUCA
Molecule: long non-coding RNA, 765 nt
Organism: Talpa occidentalis (Iberian mole)
Lineage: Eukaryota; Metazoa; Chordata; Mammalia; Eulipotyphla; Talpidae
Exons: 6
Source: RefSeq, a predicted model, not a curated record